ACGCACGCACGCACACACAGCCUGUAAUUCUUGUUUAAAUGUUUUGCAGCCGCGGCUGUUUUAUGGGGUUGGACAGAAUAAACUGUGGCCUGUGGUGACAUUAGAACAAGAGAGACGUUAAGGAGGGAACGCUCCGAGUUCUAGUUGUGAUGGAGUUAAGAGGCAGAGGCCUGAGCCCAUAAACAUGGAGCACAAUUAUCACCUUUCACAUUAAGAACGGGAAGAACUGAAAAUUACAGGCUGCUCCAUCGGAGCGGUUCCAUCGGAGCGGUUCCAUCGGAGCGGUUCCAUCGGAGCGGUUCCAUCGGAGCAGUUCCAUCGGAGCGGUUCCAUCGUCACGAGGGGGACGUGAGCUGCUGUUUGUGUGACCUGUGCCGCUCGUUACAGAGGAUCAGGAUGAGCCUGCUUCGCGCGGGCCGAGCUGCUGCUGGUGGCACUGCUGAGCAUCUCCUCGUCCCUGGGAAAAACAGGAAUGCCAUCGGAUAAUGGAAAAAAUAUGUUUUAUUGAGAAGUGAGCUCAAAACCCGUGUAAACAAGUCAGUGAAGUAUGUGGAGUUCAGGGGAUUGGAGUCCACAACACAAUUAGGUGGACGAGCAUAAAGCGUCUGCACGCUCUCAGACGCAGCGCUCUGAUCAUCUCCCUGCUGCUCCUCCAGCUUCCAACCGCAGCCAAGAGGGCAGAGGUGGAGGGUCCUCAAGCUGCAGAAGCUUCAGGCCGCAGCGAGUCUGAGCUGAGAGUCUGAGCUGAGAGUCUGAGCUGAGAGUCUGAGCUGAGAGUCUGAGCUGAGAGUCUGAGCUGUCAACGUCACCGCAGCAGCUCCACUGCUUCAUGAGACACCGAACACGUGCUCAGCACACACCAACCUUCAUCUGGACCGGGUGCGGUACCGAGCCGUGUGACCACCGCAGGGAGGAGCGCUGGUCGCCAACGGCAACAGGCUGGAAGCAGAGCGACGGUCUUGGAGCUCCUCUGACUCCUGCUCGCGACCCUGCUCAUCUUUAACCAAGCGCAUCGUUGUUCACAAUGCUUUCACUAAGUAACAUGUGCCAAAUUAGUUAGAACCGGUCCCUGUGCUGGUGCCAUCGGGUCACAAACAAGGAGGAGACGGAGGCUCCUCUGAUCCGAUUGCCUGUGGGUGAAGCUCAGAACAUGAGGACGUGAGAUCUGAGGACCUGAGGUGGAAGGAGAGCAGACGUGGGAACAAUAGACAAAGGAACCGAGGAGGAGAGCGACAAAGAGAAGAAUGGAGCUUGUUCACAGCAAAACCCAACGGGUCGGACAUCGGGGUCCGUGGGGAAAAACAGCCUGAACAAGACACCGAGGAGAAGCUGAGAGGCUUCGAGGCCACGACCACAAGAACCACUGCUCGACCUGGUUGAACAGAACCUGACAGAACCGUCUGACGUUCUGCCGCUGAUGAUUCACAGGAAGUUGUGAACUGUGAACUGCUGCAGCUUUGCUGCCGUUGGAGAACGCUGUCGUUGGAGAACGCUGCCGCUGGAGAAGGCUGUUGUUGGAGAACGCUGCCGCUGGAGAACGCGGACGCUAGAGAACGCGGACACUGGAGAACGCUGCAGCAAACGAGAACGCCGCCAUUGGAGAACGCUGCCAUUGGAGAACGCUGCCGUUGGAGAACGCUGUAGUUGGAGAACGCUGUAGUUGGAGAACGCUGUUGUUGGAGAACACGGAUGCUGGAGAACGCUACCGUUGGAGAACGCAGACGCUGGAGAACGCAGACGCUGGAGAACGCAGACGCUGGAGAACGCUGCCGUUGGAGAACGCUGCCGUUGGAGAAUGCUGUCGUUGGAGAACACGGAUGCUGGAGAACGCUACCGUUGGAGAACACGGACGCUGGAGAACGCUGCCGCUGGAGAAGGCUGUUGUUGGAGAACGCUGCCGCUGGAGAAGGCUGUUGUUGGAGAACGCUGCCGCUGGAGAAGGCUGUUGUUGGAGAACGCUGCCGCUGGAGAAGGCUGUUGUUGGAGAACGCUGCCGCUGGAGAAGGCUGUUGUUGGAGAACGCGGACACUGGAGAAUGCUGCAGCAAACGAGAACGCCGCCAUUGGAGAACGCUGCCAUUGGAGAACGCUGCCGUUGGAGAACGCUGUAGUUGGAGAACGCUGUCGUUGGAGAACACGGAUGCUGGAGAACGCUACCGUUGGAGAACGCAGACGCUGGAGAACGCAGACGCUGGAGAACGCAGAUGCUGGAGAACGCAGACGCUGGAGAACGCUGCCGUUGGAGAACGCUGUCGUUGGAGAACGCUGUCGUUGGAGAACACGGAUGCUGGAGAACGCUACCGUUGGAGAACGCGGACGCUGGAGAACGCUGCCGUGUUCAGCACCUGCAGCCAGCGCUCAUCAGCCGAGCCUCCAAUUAAACCCGGAUGCAUGGAAGGAAUCAUCGCGCUGCGUGACUCAGCUCCAGCUCCCAUGAAGCCGCCCAACCCAGAUUCCUCUGGUGUCGACCAAACAACUUGACUCAAUCAUCUCAGUGGGAAGUGAGGGAGCAUCACGCAACAUUCUGCACACAGGCUCCAUGACGAACAAAGACGCUGCUGCUGUUCUGAGGUCAGGGAAGCAAAACAGGCCCGAUGUCACCAGCAGAACCACGGAGCGGGAGACCAGCACCGUUCUGCACCGUUCCUCCACCUCGGCUCAGCAGAGAAGCAGCAGAACUCAUGGUUCUGCACCUUUAGGGUUGAUUGUUGUUGCACUGCGGCCCAUGAUGCACCAGUAACGGACCGAAGCGGACCAAGAUCAGACAUUUCCCUGCAAUUAAGCAUGUGAUUAAAUGAAGAAAUGGUCUGAACGUUCUUCCAGAUGAGGCCACGGAUCAAAUGUCACUUAUUAGUGAAAGCUGCACAUGAUCCGUUCACGCUUCCAUUAAUAGCUCAGAGCUGAAGACGUUUGCAGUAAUCAGAUCACUCCUCUGUGAUGAGGACGAUGAACGCGGAGCAGGUGCAGCUCAGCCGAAGCCACUGAAGGUUGAAGCGUGUUUGUGUGGUGAGAGUUCAGGAGCUCGUCCCCCGUGUGCGCCGCGGGUGCGGCCGCAGGCGGGUCCGUAGCGAUCAGAUGGCGCCCAUGUGUUGGACGACGGCCACAGGAGCAGCUGAAGGCACGGCUUCACGCAGCGUCCAUCGAAGCGCGAGGCUUCAGCGCAGCAGCCGUUUCCAUGUGGAGCUCAGGUGACAGCGUCCGACCCGGUCCACGCCCUGGACCCGCUCCGUCCGUAUGGUUCUGAUAACAGCGGUUCGCAUGACUUUUGAAAGAGUUCCCACAAAGGCAGCAGAUUAAAACCAGAGUCAACAGAGAUGAAGAGAUGCAGCUGGAGAUUCAACUACUGGGCAACAAGUAGUGGUGCUACACACACACACACACACACACACACACACACACACACACACACACACCCACACACACACACACCCUGAUUACACACAGGCUCAGUGACCGUGUGUGUGUGUGUGUGUGUGUGCGUGCGUGCGUGCGUGCGUCUGUGUGUGUGUGUGUGCGUGCGUGCGUGCGUCUGUGUGUGUGUGCAAACAGGAUCCAGAUGCCAGUGCAGGUCAUAGAGGCCUCACAGAGACCUGCAGACUCACAGAGGCAUAUUUAUCAGUGGGUUUAAAUAAUGAGACAUUGAAGAUAAUGGAAAUGCAUUAAAAAUGAUUGAGCAGGUUUUUAACAGAUUUCACAGGUCUGUGAUGCAGAACCGGCGUCGUCAAACCGCCGAACGCUGUAUCAGGCAGAAAAUGCUGUCUGGGAACAGAGAGACACAGAGACGUCUCUCCUGGAGCUGGUUUCUACUUAUCGUAGGUUCACCUGUUUAUUGCCUGCAUUGCUUCACAUUCAUCAGCAAAGUCCUUCUGCCACUUCAUCCAACUGGUUUUGACAAAACCCAAUCAAGCUCUAAGUGAAUGCUUCUGAUCCCACAUGAUCUACAUGUGUGUUAAUUUCCUUCACUGAGGAUCAGGCCAGUGAGGCAUUCACUGCUGCCCCCUGCUGCUCAGGGACUGCACUGCACCUUCAGCUGCAGCAGAAUGAGAACCAUCAGGUCAAGCUGGGUCGGGGGUCGGUCCUGGAGGUACCGGCUCCACAGCAGGACCUUGAACAACGAGGACUCUGUGCGGGACUGAAGAGCUGCUCGGCAUCCGGGCUUGAGCUGAUGGAGGUUCUGGUCCAGCAGACGGCGUGAGCGCCUCCCUCACUGCUCUGCUGAUCCUCACGCUACGGCCUCUGAGCUCGCGUUUCGAUGCCGCUGCAAAGAUCACAGUUUGUGAAAGCCAGGUCUGAAAGUCAGUGGAUCAGCAGCAGUUUCAGGGUAUGAUCUACAGUAAAAUAAUCCAGCAUCUUAACCAUCAACGACUGGACCCUUGGUUCAGAUUCAGAUCAAGCUGCUACAGGUGAAAAUCUCCACCGUUCGUAUAAAAUCAAAUCUCCUGACAGAUCAAUGCAUUCCUAUGAGCAGCCGUGAAAACCUGGACCUGGAGCUGAAACACAAGCAGGUGUUUAACCCUGAGCGGCGCUGCUCAGAGGCCUGAGGUUGAGCCGUGGAACCGAGGCCGAAGCCGGAGGCUCAGACGGAAGCAGAGGCAAAAAGAGAAAAGGAGCUUCUGAACUGAUGUGAUCACGUGACUGAGGAUCACAGCGAGUGGUUCCGUCAGACACAGCUUCAGCUGGAGCUGGUGUCUGUUAGAGGACCUGUCGUCAGCAGGCGCUGGAGCGCAGCGUUCUGCAGAACCGUCUCAUUUGGAAGGAACAAACGCGUCCUUUGGGCCAACGCACACACUCAGGCGCGUUCUGCACUGCGAGAACGCACGCUCCGUGUUCAGAGCAGCAGAGAGAAGCCUGAUUCUGAGGCGCAGCGGAGGGAGACGGAACCAGAACCAGAACCCAGAGUCUGAGCAGACGAGGACCCACGCAGGAACUGGCCUCUGCUGGAGGUCAAAGGUCACGGCCUUUAUCACUCUGUCUAAACAGCUGAUUGAUUCUCUAACAAGACGUUAAGACAGAGCCCAGAUCAAUAACGAGACACUCACUCCACAUCUGUGUUAAAACAAGAAGCCUCUGAGCUCUGGACUGAAGCCUCGUUUAACUUCAUCUUCACAUGUGACGUUUGUCCAGUCGCUUGUUUUAACACCUUCAUUCAGUUCCAAAUGAGCUUCGCAUUCAGGAACUUUUACAAGCUGCAAAGUGACGCCUCAGAUCCAGACAUCAGCACCUGGUGACAUAAUUGUUGCGUAAUUGCAGUUAAUCAAGAAGCUCAUCAGCCCCAUGCAGACGUAGUGAAGUGACUGUGUUCCAAUUAAAACAUUUACAGGGAAACGACUGCGAAGCUGAAAGCAGCAAACGGAGCCAGAGAGAAACGUGAGCCUCAACUCCAGACCUGGACCCAGGAGGCGGUGCAGCCAGCGCCGACCCGGCCCACUCACGCUCCCCUACACCAGAACCAGGAGCGGCCGCUCCGAGUUCCAGCCAGACGCUGCGUGGAAGCGAAUUAAAAGUUAAGUUAAUUAACUACUUGAGUAAGUAGAGCAGGCAGGAUGGAGCCAAAUCAAUUAGGGACUGGCAGAGACGGAGCUGGGGGGGGGCAAACGCACACACAGGCACGGACGCACACACAGGCACGGACGCACACACACAGGAACGGACGCACACACAGGCACGGACGCACACACACACGGACGCACACACACACACACGGAUGCACGGACGCACACACACACAGGCACGGACGCACACACACAGGAACGGACGCACACACACAGGCACGGACGCACACACACAGGCACGGACGCACGGACACACACA
Betta splendens (Siamese fighting fish) is the source of this 5810-nucleotide long non-coding RNA. RefSeq lists it as uncharacterized. Lineage: Eukaryota; Metazoa; Chordata; Actinopteri; Anabantiformes; Osphronemidae. The transcript has 3 exons. The record is from RefSeq and is a predicted model, not a curated record.